RNAcentral lists this ribosomal RNA (446 nucleotides) under uncultured Desulfobulbus sp. Its description in RNAcentral is "bacterial SSU rRNA". It matches the Rfam family "Bacterial small subunit ribosomal RNA", at positions 940 to 1382 of the family's 1533-position model. Lineage: Bacteria; Pseudomonadati; Thermodesulfobacteriota; Desulfobulbia; Desulfobulbales; Desulfobulbaceae. The record is from RNAcentral.
UGCGGUUAAUUCGAUGCAACGCGAAGAACUUACCUGGUCUUGACAUCCCGGAGACCCUUAGGAAACUAGGGGGUGCUUCCAUCUGGAAGAAUCUGGAGACAGGUGCUGCAUGGCUGUCGUCAGCUCGUGUCGUGAGAUGUUGGGUUAAGUCCCGCAACGAGCGCAACCCUUGCCUUUAGUUGCCAGCAGUUCGGCUGGGCACUCUAAAGGGACUGCCGGUGUUAAACCGGAGGAAGGUGGGGAUGACGUCAAGUCCUCAUGGCCUUUAUGACCAGGGCUACACACGUACUACAAUGGCCGAUACAAAGGGCAGCGACACUGCGAGGUGAAGCCAAUCCCGUAAAAUCGGUCUCAGUCCGGAUUGGAGUCUGCAACUCGACCCCAUGAAGUUGGAAUCGCUAGUAAUCGUGGAUCAGCAUGCCACGGUGAAUACGUUCCCGGGCCUU